GUCUCCGUUGGUGAACCAGCGGAGGGAUCAUCACCGAGUUUACAACUCCCAAACCCCUAUGUGAACGUUACCAAACUGUUGCCUCGGCGGGAAAUUCAUGCCCCGGGCGCGUCGCAGCCCCGGACCAAGGCGCCCGCCGGAGGACCAACCAAAACUCUUUUGUAUGUCCCUCGCGGACUUUUGUAAUUCUGAACCAUCUCGGCGCCCCUAGCGGGCGUUUCGAAAAUGAAUCAAAACUUUCAACAACGGAUCUCUUGGUUCUG
RNAcentral lists this unclassified non-coding RNA (263 nucleotides) under plant metagenome. RNAcentral's name for it is "partial contains small subunit ribosomal RNA, internal transcribed spacer 1, and 5.8S ribosomal RNA". The record is from RNAcentral.